This 253-nucleotide ribosomal RNA is filed under the name uncultured bacterium. RNAcentral's name for it is "partial 16S ribosomal RNA". It matches the Rfam family "Bacterial small subunit ribosomal RNA", at positions 524 to 776 of the family's 1533-position model. The record is from RNAcentral.
UACGGAGGGUGCGAGCGUUGUCCGGAAUCAUUGGGCGUAAAGGGCUCGUAGGUGGCCAACUAAGUCAGACGUGAAAUCCCUCGGCUUAACCGGGGAACUGCGUCUGAUACUGGAUGGCUUGAGUUUGGGAGAGGGACGCGGAAUUCCAGGUGUAGCGGUGAAAUGCGUAGAUAUCUGGAGGAACAUCGGUGGCGAAGGCGGCGUCCUGGACCAACACUGACACUGAUGAGCGAAAGCCAGGGGAGCAAACGGG